Molecule: small RNA, 139 nt
Filed under: Drosophila erecta
Lineage: Eukaryota; Metazoa; Arthropoda; Insecta; Diptera; Drosophilidae
Description: GG26159
Source: RNAcentral
UAUAUAUUUACAUACAAACAACAAUUAUUUAUACAACUACUGUAAAUAACCAUUUAACUUACCAAAACUAUUAUGAGAAUCGUUUACCUCAAGCGAAAUAUGUGAACCCAUGUUGAUUUUAUACAUAUAUAACAUACGA